GAUCAUGGCUCAGGAUGAACGCUAGCUACAGGCCUAACACAUGCAAGUCGAGGGGAAACGGCAGCUUAGCUUGCUAAGCUGGACGUCGACCGGCGCACGGGUGAGUAACGCGUAUCCAACCUGCCCACCACUUGGGGAUAACCUUGCGAAAGUAAGACUAAUACCCGAUGAUAUCUCUAGACGACAUCUGAAAGGGAUUAAAGAUUUAUCGGUGAUGGAUGGGGAUGCGUCUGAUUAGCUUGUUGGCGGGGUAACGGCCCACCAAGGCGACGAUCAGUAGGGGUUCUGAGAGGAAGGUCCCCCACAUUGGAACUGAGACACGGUCCAAACUCCUACGGGAGGCAGCAGUGAGGAAUAUUGGUCAAUGGGCGAGAGCCUGAACCAGCCAAGUAGCGUGCAGGAAGACGGCCCUAUGGGUUGUAAACUGCUUUUAUAGGGGAAUAAAGUGAGCCACGUGUGGCUUUUUGCAUGUACCCUAUGAAUAAGGACCGGCUAAUUCCGUG
Molecule: ribosomal RNA, 503 nt
Filed under: uncultured bacterium
Lineage: Bacteria
Description: bacterial SSU rRNA
Rfam family: Bacterial small subunit ribosomal RNA
Source: RNAcentral